GGAAGUGUGCCGGAGCAAGACAAACGGGACGGACUGUAAAUCCGUUGGCUAAGCCUACACUGGUGCGAAUCCAGUCACUUCCACCA
Molecule: transfer RNA, 86 nt
Filed under: Urinicoccus massiliensis
Lineage: Bacteria; Bacillati; Bacillota; Tissierellia; Tissierellales; Peptoniphilaceae
Description: tRNA-Tyr(gta)
Rfam family: tRNA
About the family: Transfer RNA (tRNA) molecules are approximately 80 nucleotides in length. Their secondary structure includes four short double-helical elements and three loops (D, anti-codon, and T loops).
Source: RNAcentral